RNAcentral lists this unclassified non-coding RNA (284 nucleotides) under uncultured fungus. Its description in RNAcentral is "partial contains 18S rRNA, ITS1, 5.8S rRNA, ITS2 and 28S rRNA". Lineage: Eukaryota; Fungi. The record is from RNAcentral.
AAGGAUCAUUAUCGAAUAAACUUGAACAGGCUGUUGCUGGUCCUUUGGGAUGUGUGCACGCUUGUCUCAUCUUUGUUAUUUCUCCAACUUGUGCACCUUUUGUAGGCUCUGGAGCUUUGUGGAUUUUCUGAAAAUUCGAGUCCGGACUGCUGUGCUGCGAAGCCGGCUUUGCCUUGCAUUCUCCAGGUCUAUGUCAUUUUCAUAACCUCUUGAAACAUGUUUAGAAUGUUGGGAUACAAAAAUAAUGAAAUAUACAACUUUCAGCAACGGAUCUCUUGGCUCUC